RNAcentral lists this ribosomal RNA (440 nucleotides) under uncultured bacterium. RNAcentral describes it as "partial 16S ribosomal RNA". It matches the Rfam family "Bacterial small subunit ribosomal RNA", at positions 338 to 795 of the family's 1533-position model. The record is from RNAcentral.
CCUACGGGUGGCUGCAGUAGGGAAUAUUGCUCAAUGGGCGAAACUCUGAAGCAGCAACGCCGCGUGCAGGAUGACGGCUUUAGGAUUGUAAACUUCUUUUGUUAGAGAAGUUUAUUACGUUAUCUAACGUAUAAUCACCGUCUAACUCCGUUCAAGCAGCCGCGGUAAUACGGAGGGUCCAAGCGUUACUCGGAAUCACUGGGCGUAAAGAGUGCGUAGGCGGGGUAAUAAGUCAGAUGUGAAAUCCUGUAGCUUAACUACAGAACUGCAUUUGAAACUGUUACUCUGGAGAGUGGGAGAGGUAGGUGGAAUUCUUGGUGUAGGGGUAAAAUGCGUAGAGAUCAAGAGGAAUACUCAUUGCGAAGGCGACCUGCGGGAACACUACUGACGCUGAUGCACGAAAGCGUGGGGAGCAAACAGGAUUAGAUACCCGAGUAGUC